Molecule: ribosomal RNA, 397 nt
Filed under: uncultured bacterium
Lineage: Bacteria
Description: partial 16S ribosomal RNA
Rfam family: Bacterial small subunit ribosomal RNA
Source: RNAcentral
AUACGUAGGUGGCGACCGUUGUCCGGAAUUACUGGGCGUAAAGGAUGCGUAGGUGGAUACUUAAGUGGGAUGUGAAAUCCCCGGGCUCAACCCGGGAACUGCAUUCCAAACUGGGUAUCUAGAGUGCAGGAGAGGCAAGCGGAAUUCCUAGUGUAGCGGUGAAAUGCGUAGAUAUUAGGAGGAACACCAGUGGCGAAGGCGGCUUUCUGGACUGUAACUGACACUGAGGCAUGAAAGCGUGGGUAGCAAACAGGAUUAGAUACCCUGGUAGUCCACGCCGUAAACGAUGGGUACUAGGUGUAGGAGGUAUCGACCCCUUCUGUGCCGUCGUUAACACAAUAAGUACCCCGCCUGGGGAGUACGGUCGCAAGACUAAAACUCAAAGGAAUUGACGGGG